RNAcentral lists this ribosomal RNA (386 nucleotides) under uncultured bacterium. RNAcentral's name for it is "bacterial SSU rRNA". It matches the Rfam family "Bacterial small subunit ribosomal RNA", at positions 29 to 405 of the family's 1533-position model. The record is from RNAcentral.
AGCGAACGCUGGCGGCGUGCCUAACACAUGCAAGUCGAACGUGAAAUGGGGCAACCCAAAGUAAAGUGGCGUACGGGUGAGUAACGCGUAGGUAAUCUACCUGAGAGUCUGGAAUAACCGGCCGAAAGGCUGGCUAAUACUGGAUAGAGCGAGGAAUCCGUAAUUGGGUUUUUCGGGAAAGGGAGGCAGCAAUGCCCCUCGCUUUCAGAUGAGCCUGCGUCUCAUUAGCAGUUGGUGAGGUAAUGGCUCACCAAGGCAUUGAUGGGUAGCUGGUCUGAGAGGAUGAUCAGCCACACUGGAACUGAAACACGGUCCAGACUCCUACGGGAGGCAGCAGUGGGAAUUUUGCGCAAUGGGGAAACCCUGACGCAGCAACGCCGCGUGGA